This 254-nucleotide ribosomal RNA is filed under the name uncultured bacterium. RNAcentral's name for it is "partial 16S ribosomal RNA". It matches the Rfam family "Bacterial small subunit ribosomal RNA", at positions 524 to 776 of the family's 1533-position model. The record is from RNAcentral.
UACGAAGGGGGGCUAGCGUUGCUCGGAAUCACUGGGCGUAAAGCGCACGUAGGCGGAUUGCUAAGUCAGGGGUGAAAUCCUGGAGCUCAACUCCAGAACUGCCUUUGAUACUGGCGACCUUGAGUCCGGGAGAGGUGAGUGGAACUGCGAGUGUAGAGGUGAAAUUCGUAGAUAUUCGCAAGAACACCAGUGGCGAAGGCGGCUCACUGGCCCGGUACUGACGCUGAGGUGCGAAAGCGUGGGGAGCAAACAGG